This 1381-nucleotide ribosomal RNA is filed under the name uncultured bacterium. RNAcentral's name for it is "bacterial SSU rRNA". It matches the Rfam family "Bacterial small subunit ribosomal RNA". The record is from RNAcentral.
GAAUUCGCCCUUGAGUUUGAUCCUGGCUCAGGACGAACGCUGGCGGCGCGCCUAACACAUGCAAGUCGAACGAGCGAGAGAGAGCUUGCUUUCUCGAGCGAGUGGCGAACGGGUGAGUAACGCGUGAGGAACCUGCCUCAAAGAGGGGGACAACAGUUGGAAACGACUGCUAAUACCGCAUAAGCCCACGGGUCGGCAUCGACCAGAGGGAAAAGGAGCAAUCCGCUUUGAGAUGGCCUCGCGUCCGAUUAGCUGGUUGGUGAGGUAACGGCCCACCAAGGCAACGAUCGGUAGCCGGACUGAGAGGUUGAACGGCCACAUCGGGACUGAGACACGGCCCAGACUCCUACGGGAGGCAGCAGUGGGGAAUAUUGCACAAUGGGGGAAACCCUGAUGCAGCGACGCCACGUGGAGGAAGAAGGUCUUCGGAUUGUAAACUCCUGUUGUUGAGGAAGAUAAUGACGGUACUCAACAAGGAAGUGACGGCUAACUACGUGCCAGCAGCCGCGGUAAAACGUAGGUCACAAGCGUUGUCCGGAAUUACUGGGUGUAAAGGGAGCGCAGGCGGGAAGACAAGUUGGAAGUGAAAUCCAUGGGCUCAACCCAUGAACUGCCUUCAAAACUGUUUUUCUUGAGUAGUGCAGAGGUAGGCGGAAUUCCCGGUGUAGCGGUGGAAUGCGUAGAUAUCGGGAGGAACACCAGUGGCGAAGGCGGCCUACUGGGCACCAACUGACGCUGAGGCUCGAAAGUGUGGGUAGCAAACAGGAUUAGAUACCCUGGUAGUCCACACCGUAAACGAUGAUUACUAGGUGUUGGAGGAUUGACCCCUUCAGUGCCGCAGUUAACACAAUAAGUAAUCCACCUGGGGAGUACGACCGCAAGGUUGAAACUCAAAGGAAUUGACGGGGGCCCGCACAAGCAGUGGAGUAUGUGGUUUAAUUCGACGCAACGCGAAGAACCUUACCAAGUCUUGACAUCCCUUGACGAUGCUGGAAACAGUAUUUCUCUUCGGAGCAAGGAGACAGGUGGUGCAUGGUUGUCGUCAGCUCGUGUCGUGAGAUGUUGGGUUAAGUCCCGCAACGAGCGCAACCCUUAUGGUCAGUUACUACGCAAGAGGACUCUGGCCAGACUGCCGUUGACAAAACGGAGGAAGGUGGGGAUGACGUCAAAUCAUCAUGCCCUUUAUGACUUGGGCUACACACGUACUACAAUGGCGUUAAACAAAGAGAAGCAAGACCGCGAGGUGGAGCAAAACUCAGAAACAACGUCCCAGUUCGGACUGCAGGCUGCAACUCGCCUGCACGAAGUCGGAAUUGCUAGUAAUCGUGGAUCAGCAUGCCACGGUGAAUACGUUCCCGGGCCUUGCACUCACCGCCCGUCA